GACGAACGCUGGCGGCGUGCUUAACACAUGCCAGUCGAACGGAAAGGCCCUGCUUUUGUGGGGUGCUCGAGUGGCGAACGGGUGAGCAACACGUGAGUAACCUGCCCUUGACUUUGGGAUAACUUCAGGAAACUGGGGCUAAUACCGGAUAGGAGCUCCUGCCGCAUGGUGGGGGUUGGAAAGUUUCGGCGGUUGGGGAUGGACUCGCGGCUUAUCAGCUUGUUGGUGGGGUAGUGGCUUACCAAGGCUUUGACGGGUAGCCGGCCUGAGAGGGUGACCGGCCACAUUGGGACUGAGAUACGGCCCAGACUCCUACGGGAGGCAGCAGUGGGGAAUAUUGCACAAUGGGCGGAAGCCUGAUGCAGCAACGCCGCGUGCGGGAUGACGGCCUUCGGGUUGUAAACCGCUUUCGCCUGUGACGAAGCGUGAGUGACGGUAAUGGGUAAAGAAGCACCGGCUAACUACGUG
Molecule: ribosomal RNA, 468 nt
Filed under: uncultured bacterium
Lineage: Bacteria
Description: partial 16S ribosomal RNA
Rfam family: Bacterial small subunit ribosomal RNA
Source: RNAcentral